UCCUGCCGGAGGCUACUGCUAUCGGGUUUCGACUAAGCCAUGCGAGUCACGGGGUCGCAAGACACCGGCAUACGGCUCUUUAACACGUGGAUAAUCUACCCUUGGGUGGAGAAUAACCUCGGGAAACUGAGGCUAAUGAGCCAUAGACAUUCUAUGACUGAAUGCUUGAAUGUUGAAAGCGCAAAGCGCCCAAGGAUGAGUCUGCGGCCUAUCAUGGUUGUAGGCGGUGUAACGGACCACCUAGCCUAUGACGGGUACGGGCACUGAGAGGUGGAGCCCGGAGAUGGACUCUGAGACACGAGUCCAGGCCCUACGGGGCGCAGCAGGCGCGAAAACUACGCACUGCGCGAAAGCGCGACGUGGGAAACCCGAGUGCCUUUUCUUUUUUGAAAAGGCUUUUCUCAAGCCUAAAAAGCUUGGGGAAUAAGAGCUGGGCAAGACGGGUGCCAGCCGCCGCGGUAAUACCCGCAGCUCGAGUGGUAGCCGCUAUUAUUGAGCCUAAAGCGUUUGUAGCCGGCCUUGUAAAUCCUUGGGUAAAUCGAGUCGCUUAACGGUUCGAAUUUCAGGGAGACUGCAAGGCUUGAGACCGGGAGAGGUCAGAGGUACUUUCGAGGUAGGAGUAAAAUCCCGUAAUCCCGAAGGGACCACCUGUGGCGAAGGCGUCUGACUAGAACGGCUCUGACGGUGAGGAACG
Molecule: ribosomal RNA, 694 nt
Filed under: uncultured Thermoplasmatales archaeon
Lineage: Archaea; Methanobacteriati; Thermoplasmatota; Thermoplasmata; Thermoplasmatales
Description: bacterial SSU rRNA
Rfam family: Archaeal small subunit ribosomal RNA
Source: RNAcentral